This 209-nucleotide unclassified non-coding RNA is filed under the name fungal sp. Its description in RNAcentral is "partial internal transcribed spacer region". The stretch from base 1 to 46 matches the Rfam family "Eukaryotic small subunit ribosomal RNA", at positions 1786 to 1831 of the family's 1831-position model. The record is from RNAcentral. Lineage: Eukaryota; Fungi.
AAGUCGUAACAAGGUCUUCGUAGGUGAACCUGCGGAGGGAUCAUUAGUGAUUUCCAGGGGAGUCCCUCUUCAUCAGAGAAGGCCCCGUCACUAUACCUUACACUUGUGCAUUGUCCUUUUUUUUUUUACUCUGUGUAUUCGAAGCCGUCUUGUGAUAAAACCUUUGAUAAACGAAAAAAAAACUUUCAGCAAUGGAUCUCUUGGCUCUC